Long non-coding RNA from Humulus lupulus (European hop), 372 nucleotides. RefSeq lists it as uncharacterized. The record is from RefSeq and is a predicted model, not a curated record. The transcript is spliced from 2 exons. Lineage: Eukaryota; Viridiplantae; Streptophyta; Magnoliopsida; Rosales; Cannabaceae.
GUCUUCUUCUUCUGCUUGGUGCAACAUUGGUUGUUACAGUAGUAGUUAAACCUUGGACGAUUGGUGUGGCAUUUCUUUUGGUUCUUCUGAUGAUUGUACUAGCAAUUAGUGCUAUCCACCAUUGGGCAUCAAACAAUUUAUUUACCAGAUUCAACAAGUCAAGUGCAAAAGAAAAUCUGAUUUGGAAGGCUUUGGUGUGCUGACAUUUGGAAGAUCAUGAAUUCUUAUCUUUACUUUUGAAUAUGUAACUGUUUAAGACUAUUUUGUUGACUAUUGUGAGAAUGUUUUGUUUAUGUUAAUUAGGCAGUGUUGAAUAUCUUAAGACUUUUGGAUUAUUUUUUAGAUAAUCUUGAAUGUAUUUUGACACAAUUA